UUGUUGUUGUUGUUGUUUAAACACCUGUAAAGUGUCUUGAGAUAACUGUGUUACGAAUUGGCACUUUAAAUAAAACUGAAUUGAACUGAAUUGAAUUCAACAUAUAGCUGCAGUGGGGGACAUUUAAUCUUUAUGUUAUUGUAUGUAAUAGUAUUCUGUGGCAUUUUGAAGCUUGAUAGAUCGAUAAUUUAGCCUGAGCAUUAUGGUAUUUGCAUUUAGGCUUAAGUAAGCUGAGUUUAUUAACCAUGGUGUACCAUGUGAUGUGUGGGUAGUGGUAUAAAUUAAUGACACAACCAGACAUAGUUAGUUAAAGCUGUGCUUAUUGCUUUCGGACACAGUCUUAAUUACUUUUUCUCUUUUUUGCUUUCCAUAACAUUACAUUUUAAUGGAAUUUUCUUUGUCUUUUAGGUGCUAGCAACAGCAGCUGACAUUGAAAGAACACAGCCGCUUCCUGACUCUCUGAGACUAAUUCUCUUAAGUAGUGUAUGCUGGACAUAUUUUAGUAGCAAUUUAAAAGUUUAAACCAUAUGUUCAUCUAUGUUAAGGUGAAGUGCUCACAACAACGCACUGUAAACUGAGCAUUGAGGCUUUAUAACAACUUUAAUCUGGCUUACCAGGAGCAAGCAUCUUGCGUACAGAAUUGAUAUGUGCCUGAAGUAAAAUUCAGGUGUAGUUUUUGUUUUUAGACAGACAAGAAACAUUAUUUUUUGUGGAAACCAUAGUGAUAGGGACAGCUUUGCUUUUUUUGUCACAAGGUUGCAUGAGUUACCAAUCACUGCUGAUUUAGCAAAAUUUACAGCAGCUAACUGGGACAACUAUUUUAAUAUUUUAAACCAAACAAACCUGCCAAAAGUAUUUUCCCACAACAAAAUACUUAACAACUGAGUAUUUAAAAUAAUUCACCUUGUUACAGAAUGCCAUUAUUGCUACAUACUGGAGUCUUGAGAUGGUCUGUGCAGUGGUGUGGUAUGUAAAAGGCUGGCCUUGAUAGCACAAUUGAAUCGUAAUGAAAAAUAUUUAACAGACAAAUUUUCGUUUCAUGUUUUUCACAUUGGAGGGGCAAGUGAUUAAUUUGUUUUGCAUUACCUUAUGGAUUCUGCCCCCCAUUAAUUUAUUCUUUUCAUGUGUAUUUGUGAUUUCAGAUGUUUCAUUGGAAUCAACCCAACCAAGACAGCAAAGCUGGUCAGCCAAAGAAGUGGAAAGGUGCAUUAAAGGAACUCAGUCAACCGCCAUGUCUAGACUCUCCUCGAGUAGUUAAUGGACUUUGAAAAGCUUUAACUGUGUUCUGCCUCCUAAUUGUUCAAUGAGGUGCACCAUAAAGCACCUUUGCCAGCAUCUAAAUGGGGGCUUCUGGAGAGGAGAAUACUGAUAUUGAUGCCUCUCAGUCUGGGAUUUAUUACACACUGUUGUGUUUGAACUUACUGUCUCCAAUAGAGUUAAUUUAGUAUCUUGGUUGGUUGGUUUUUCAAUGUGAUUAAAUCCCAUGGAUUUGAAUGUUUGAGAGGGGCCUUUUCUGUGGUCAUUCUGGGUUAGUGUCGGGAGUGUUGUUCAGUCCAUAAGGCCACCACAAGUGAGGGGCAUAACAAUAUUAACAACUAAUUUUAGCUAACUGUUGCCAUAAAGUUGGAAGUGUAGCAUUGUCCAGAAUGUCUUGGUAUGCUGAUACAUGCGUUUCCUUUCACUGGAAGAAAAGGGCCUAGCCCCACUGUUAUUAGCUCCAGUCAUAUAGAGGUUACAUUUGCAAAAAUGCAUUUCAUAUAAGAGAGGCCCUCUACUUAAUGGAUUAAAUGGUUAACAGCAUGAUAACUUUCAACAGUUGUAAAAUCCUCUUUGGUAGUAUUAUAAAUGCAGCAUUUUGUUGGUCUCUGGCUGGCAAUAAAACUCUAGCUAGCCUUACCAUUAAUGUGUGGAGACUAUGGAGCGUCCAGUAUAGAAAAGGUAAAUUACUGGAGGAAUGUGAAUGUGCUCAGUAAAUUUUAUGAUUUUCAUAUAUCUUGAAAUUUGGCCUGACAGUGAGGAAAUGAAGAAAAGAGGGAUCACUAAAACAUUUGGAUUCUUUCAUAUUGGAUUUUUAAAGUUAUUUAUAAAAAAAAUCAUUGCAUCUGUCCAGUAGUUGUACAACAGAAAGAAUGGCCAAGGUUAUAAAUAAAGACCAUAGUUGUAAUAAACCAUAAUUAUUCUGUAUGCUGUUUAUCAUAAAAGAAACUACUCUCAAACAAA
This is a long non-coding RNA of Scatophagus argus, 2220 nucleotides long. RefSeq lists it as uncharacterized. The transcript is spliced from 2 exons. The record is from RefSeq and is a predicted model, not a curated record. Lineage: Eukaryota; Metazoa; Chordata; Actinopteri; Scatophagidae.